GACUGGAACCCAGUGGACUUCUGGUGAGGAGCAGAAAGGACACGGGUGAGAAGCAAGGAGUGUGCUAAAGAUCCAGCAAAGAGACCUGUGUGGCCAGAGCCAAGAGAAGGAGGGAAAGAGUGAGAGAUAACGUUAGCGAGAGACAAGGCAGACCACCUCAGACCUGGUGGACUGUUGGGAGGCUUUGCUCUUACCCUGAGUGAACUGAACUGGGGAGCUAUGGCAGUGUCUGCAGCACACCAUGGCAUGUCUAACCUAGGUUUCAGAUUAACCUGGGGCUGUGGCAGGGCAUGGAGUCCUAUGGCGGGAAUCCAGUAAGUGCAGAAGGGCAGGGAGGUUGGCGGCUUAGACCAGGUGGUGGCCGUGGAGAGAGUAAGCUUCCACGUGAGUUGUUGAGACUGGCUUCCUCAGGCUUUGCUGGUGGACUACAUGCAGGGUAUGAGAGGAAGAAAAAAUGGAGCUGGGAAAUGGCAACGAUGGAAAAGAGAAUCUAAAAUAAACCAAGUGCACUCGCAAUCUAACACUGGGUCACACGGGAGGAUGCCGCAGGGAUGGGACGGUGUACCGACGCAGCUCCGGAAAAAUAGAUUCAAUGCCCUAGAGAAAAAUGGAUCAGAGAAACUAAAGAUGUCUGAAGACCUGGUACCUGGCUACUCGGCCCUUCUAAAUGCCAUGGCGUAGUGUCCACUGUCCUGUGCCUAAAACCAUCCUGGAAAUGCUGGAAGUCCAAAGUCGGAGUGCCAGCGUCUGUCAAGUUUUGCUGACAGCCUCUCCUUGUCUUGUAGAUGGCCACCUUCUUGCUGAGUCCACGCAGGGCAGAGGGAGGAAGCUUUGAAGUGUCUUCUUCCUGUGAGGGCACUAAUCCCAUCAUGGGGCCUCCACCCUCAGGAUCUUAUCUGCAAAUUACCUCCCAAAGGCCCACC
Molecule: long non-coding RNA, 923 nt
Organism: Neofelis nebulosa (Clouded leopard)
Lineage: Eukaryota; Metazoa; Chordata; Mammalia; Carnivora; Felidae
Exons: 3
Source: RefSeq, a predicted model, not a curated record